RNAcentral lists this ribosomal RNA (614 nucleotides) under Salmonella enterica subsp. enterica serovar Infantis. RNAcentral describes it as "partial 23S ribosomal RNA". It matches the Rfam family "Bacterial large subunit ribosomal RNA", at positions 1 to 652 of the family's 2925-position model. Lineage: Bacteria; Pseudomonadati; Pseudomonadota; Gammaproteobacteria; Enterobacterales; Enterobacteriaceae. RNAcentral also lists the same sequence under 1 other name. The record is from RNAcentral.
GGUUAAGCGACUAAGCGUACACGGUGGAUGCCCUGGCAGUCAGAGGCGAUGAAGGACGUGCUAAUCUGCGAUAAGCGCCGGUAAGGUGAUAUGAACCGUUAUAACCGGCGAUUUCCGAAUGGGGAAACCCAGUGUGACUCGUCACACUAUCAUUAACUGAAUCCAUAGGUUAAUGAGGCGAACCGGGGGAACUGAAACAUCUAAGUACCCCGAGGAAAAGAAAUCAACCGAGAUUCCCCCAGUAGCGGCGAGCGAACGGGGAGGAGCCCAGAGCCUGAAUCAGCAUGUGUGUUAGUGGAAGCGUCUGGAAAGGCGCGCGAUACAGGGUGACAGCCCCGUACACAAAAGCGCAUGUGCUGUGAGCUCGAUGAGUAGGGCGGGACACGUGGUAUCCUGUCUGAAUAUGGGGGGACCAUCCUCCAAGGCUAAAUACUCCUGACUGACCGAUAGUGAACCAGUACCGUGAGGGAAAGGCGAAAAGAACCCCGGCGAGGGGAGUGAAAAAGAACCUGAAACCGUGUACGUACAAGCAGUGGGAGCACAGGUUUACCUGUGUGACUGCGUACCUUUUGUAUAAUGGGUCAGCGACUUAUAUUCUGUAGCAAGGUUAACCG